GACCUUUGAAAACACCAUUAACGGGAAACGCUCGUCAUCUUCUUGGGAACUCCCUUCUCUCUCUCUCUCUCUCUCUCUCUGUCUCUCUCAGAGUAUAUUAAUUCUUGUUUUUCUGUUAAGUCCCAUUGACUACUACUGUGUAGUAUAAAACUCUUCUCUUUCUCUGUGUCUUUAAUUACUUUCUCAUCUUCAAGUCUUGAAAUAGAAAAUGGUAACCAAACCCAAUAAGAAGAGAAAAGAAGAAGGAAAAGCAAUAUAUAUAUUAUGUAUAUAUGGAGUUUCUAGAGAUCUUUUGAUUCUAGUGGAAGCAUUUUUCUCGAGUUAUCGGAUUUUUGCUUGCUUCUGAGAGUUUUCUUUAAUUUCCGGCGAAGAAUUCACCGGAGAAGCUAAACUUUGGCGGCGUACAUGGGAAAGCCAGGCAGUUCUUCUUCUUCUUCUUCUUCUUCUUCUUGAUCUUGAUCUUGUUUAUGUUUAUGUUUUUUUUUUUCUUUUUUCCUUUUUGUUUUUUGGAUUUUGAUUAACUAAUAGUUGGGAUGAGAAAAGAGAGACAUAGUUUUACAAGAAAUGUAAACUGUUGUUAGAAUUCCAAGGCAGAUUAAUAGCAAUGAAAUAAUAUUUACAUUUGGCUCUCUCUUCUUGCAUUUUAAUUUAUAAUAUUUUGCUUUAUUUUUUUUACUAUAAUGUCUGUAAUUGAUUAAAAAAUAGCAAAAAAAAUUAUUAGGG
Molecule: long non-coding RNA, 723 nt
Filed under: Jatropha curcas
Lineage: Eukaryota; Viridiplantae; Streptophyta; Magnoliopsida; Malpighiales; Euphorbiaceae
Description: long non-coding RNA (JCUR_LNC002206)
Source: RNAcentral